CAGAUCUCUUGUCUGAAGCAAUCUCCAUCUCUAUUUCAAGUGAAACGAACACCGUAACCACACUGUAACAGAUGAAACUGCUCGGAAUCCAAAAACAGUUUUUUUUUUUUCUUUAAAAAAAACUGUUAUCAGACCUCACCUCAGCAACACAACUGAAUGCCUGAUGUGCGGCUUACCUACAGCAAUGAAGGUGAUGAUAUGCAUAUUAUAUUGAACCAUUUCCUACAGCUAGCAGUACAACAAUACCAAUUUCAUCUGGGUUAUCCGAUAAGAUUUAACUAUCUAUGGAAAAAAUGACUAGCACCACUAAUGGACAUGAUGGUGAUGGAGUCUCAGAUGAUGAAACUCUUGUAACUUGUGAAGAACAUAAAGACACAGAAGGUGGGUUAUUCCUGCACUGCGAUUCACACAUUGUUGUGAACAAUGGCAUGAUUUUGGCAGAACCAUCAAUAGAAAAUUUGAGUGCAAACACUUUAGAACCAUAUACUGGGAUGGCUUUUACUUCAUUAGAUGAUGCAAGAGAUUUCUAUUUUGAAUAUGCCAAGCGAACAGGUUUCACCAUACGAACAAAUCGUAUCAGACAUUCACUAAAGGACAUGGCAGUUAUAGGGCGUGACUUUGUUUGCUCUAGAGAAGGUUUUCGUGCUGCAAAGCAUACUCUGAGAAAAGACAGAGUUCUUCCUCCUCGGCCUAUUACAAGAGAAGGGUGCAAAGCCAUGGUAAGGUUGGCAGCAAGAGAUGGUGGAAAAUGGAUAGUUACCAAAUUUGUACGAGAGCAUAACCACAAAUUAAUGACUCAUUGUAACUUUUCUGGAGAAUUGCCAACCAUAAAUAUACUUAGUGAGGAGGAGAAGGAUAAGAAAAUCCAAGAUUUAUAUGAUGAGCUGCAGCAUGAAAGAGAACGAUCUUCAGUGAUUCGGCAACAGCUAUGGAUGGUUCUUAAAGAUGUUGAGGAACAUGCAGAGUUUAUGUCUUUAAGAGUCGAAGACAUAAUAAAUAGCUUGAAAGAAAUUGAACUUGGCAAUGCAUAGAUAAGGGUGAUAGAUUGAACUGCAUUUAUGCAAGAGGAGAGGAUGAAAAGAUCCGGGAUUUAUGUGAUGAGCUGCAGUGUGAAACAGGACGAUCUGAAACGAUCCAAUAACCGAUGCACGUGAUUCUUAAAUAUCUUGAAGAAAAUUCCAAAUUUUAUUUCUUUUAAGAGUCGAAGACAUAACAAAUAGCUUGAAGAAAUUGCACUUGGCAAUCUAUAUCAUGAUUUGGACAUGCCUGCUUUCAACAACUUUCAGAACAAAUGCAGCUGGUUAUACUCAAGGUUGUUCAAGAAUGGGGAGAUCAAUCAAAGUAAAGGACUGGACUAAAAAAGUUAAGCACAAUCACUGGCAAAUGUCCAUUACCCACAUGAACUUGCAUGAAUUAGGGUACCCCUCAAUCUGUCACAGAGUUGAGGAUAACUAGCUUCUUUUUUUCCCCCUGUUUCAGGGAGUAGUAUUACACAGUGUCCUCAUUUCCACAUUUUGUACAGCCCUGUUAUAACUUGACAUACCAAGCUGUUAUUAGCUUCCCAAUUUCACCAGCAAUGAAUAAUAAUUGAGGCAUCAAUCACUGGAUUAACUGUCUCAAGGCAAUAAAUUUUGCAGCUGGCAUGGUUUCACUUAAAGAUUACUACUGACCAUCAGAAUUAUAGCAAGCUACAUUUUGCUAUAGAAGCUGAUGAUAAAUGUUGCCAUAAAGCAUUUGAUCAUAGUCCAAACAAGACAACCUACCUUUUGGAGAAACUUGCAAGAAAUCUUAAGUGAUCAAGCAACAAAACAUACUUGGCAAGAAAUUCUUUUUUACUAUCCAUAGUAGGAAAACGAUGUCAUAUCAAAAGAAACAUAUAUUUACAACAAAAUCAAACCACAGAAAACAAAGGAUAAUUAUCGAAGGAGAAAAAAGAAUAAUCCUGAGAAGAUGAGCAUAAAAUAAGAAAUAAUUACUAACCCACCAAGCCAAUCUUACAAAGUCUGAAACACACCCUCAAAAA
This is an RNA transcript of Ricinus communis (castor bean), 2023 nucleotides long. It is a transcript of the gene named protein FAR1-RELATED SEQUENCE 5, with no coding region annotated. The transcript has 5 exons. NCBI's taxonomy places the organism in Eukaryota, Viridiplantae, Streptophyta, Magnoliopsida, Malpighiales, Euphorbiaceae. The record is from RefSeq and is a predicted model, not a curated record.